ACGCUCGACACCUACGGGAGGGCAGCAGUGGGGAAUAUUGCACAAUGGGGGAAACCCUGAUGCAGCAACGCCGCGUGAAGGAAGACGGUUUUCGGAUUGUAAACUUCUGUUCUUAGUGAAGAUAGUGACGGUAGCUAAGGAGCAAGCCACGGCUAACUACGUGCCAGCAGCCGUGGUAAUCUGAGCGGGCUGGCAAGGC
This 199-nucleotide ribosomal RNA is filed under the name uncultured bacterium. Its description in RNAcentral is "partial 16S ribosomal RNA". It matches the Rfam family "Bacterial small subunit ribosomal RNA", at positions 328 to 539 of the family's 1533-position model. The record is from RNAcentral.